Molecule: long non-coding RNA, 783 nt
Organism: Wyeomyia smithii (pitcher-plant mosquito)
Lineage: Eukaryota; Metazoa; Arthropoda; Insecta; Diptera; Culicidae
Exons: 3
Source: RefSeq, a predicted model, not a curated record
AAAGCUUCGGAAAAACGCAUAUUCUUUAUUACGCUCAAUUACAACACUUUCAAUCCAGUCCUAACAUUAUCACCUUGUUUAUUUACAAAUCGUUUAUUUACAAAUCAACGAGAAAUUCAAGUAUGAGAUAACCAGAUCUAAGAAGCUGAAAAUAAAGCUUGAAAGUUCAGAUAAAGUACAGGCAGAACCUCAUGCGAACUAGGAAGUUCAGAAAAGGCUGACGCGGAACUUUUUCUGAACUUUCAAGUUCAGAAGAAGUACGCGCGGAACGCAAUGUGAACUUAAGUCUGACAGUUCUCUAGUUUGUUUUGAUUUUGCUGCAGUAAUUGUAAUUGUAAUUGUAAUUGAAAAACGUUGUGUACGCAAUAUUUUCCUUCCAAACGUUUACUGAAAUUUUAUUCUGAUAUGCUGUGUGCCGCAGUCCAAACAACCAACGCCUUGGAACACAGGGAGCUCUCGGUGGUGUCCGAGAAAUGGAUUCGGACCUCCAAAACCGGCAACAUCAUGCUGUGGCCUACAUAAAAACACCCAAGAUUUGGGCAAAUUGCUCAGGGAUGGAAGCAUCACGCACAGCAAAUGUCUAACGGGAUUUCACAGCUUACAUCAUUUUUUCUUUUGACCUGCACAUUCAUUGGUAUCUGAAUUCAUAAUUGAUUUCCUGUAAGGUAACAAAAGUGUUCAGAUAGAGAAACCUUUAAGCACCCUAAUAUUACCUGGAAUCAUAGCUUUGUUUUCUUUUUGCCAUUAAUUUAGAUAAUAAAAUUCCGAUGAUAAUAAAAUAGA